UGCCUACGGGAGGCAGCAGUGAGGAAUAUUGGUCAAUGGCCGAGAGGCUGAACCAGCCAAGUCGCGUGAGGGAAGACGGCCCUACGGGUUGUAAACCUCUUUUGUCGGGGAGCAAAGCGAACCACGUGUGGUUCAUUGAGAGUACCCGAAGAAAAAGCAUCGGCUAACUCCGUGCCAGCAGCCGCGGUAAUACGGAGGAUGCGAGCGUUAUCCGGAUUUAUUGGGUUUAAAGGGCGAGUAGACGGCGUUGCAAGUCAGAUGUGAAAGGCUAGGGCUCAACCUUAGGAGAGCAUCUGAAACUGUAA
This 305-nucleotide ribosomal RNA is filed under the name uncultured bacterium. RNAcentral describes it as "bacterial SSU rRNA". It matches the Rfam family "Bacterial small subunit ribosomal RNA", at positions 335 to 638 of the family's 1533-position model. The record is from RNAcentral.